GGAGGGUGCGAGCGUUAAUCGGAAUGACUGGGCGUAAAGGGCAUGUAGGCGGAUAAUUAAGUUAGGUGUGAAAGCCCUGGGCUCAACCUAGGAAUUGCACUUAAAACUGGUUAACUAGAGUAUUGUAGAGGAAGGUAGAAUUCCACGUGUAGCGGUGAAAUGCGUAGAGAUGUGGAGGAAUACCGGUGGCGAAGGCGGCCUUCUGGACAGAUACUGACGCUGAGAUGCGAAAGCGUGGGGAGCAAACAGGAUUAGAUACCCUGGUAGUCCACGCUGUAAACGAUGUCGAUUUGGAGUUUGUUGCCUUGAGUGAUGGGCUCCGAAGCUAACGCGAUAAAUCGACCGCCUGGGGAGUACGGCCGCAAGGUUA
This 370-nucleotide ribosomal RNA is filed under the name uncultured bacterium. RNAcentral describes it as "bacterial SSU rRNA". It matches the Rfam family "Bacterial small subunit ribosomal RNA", at positions 527 to 896 of the family's 1533-position model. The record is from RNAcentral.